RNA transcript from Acipenser ruthenus (sterlet), 1439 nucleotides. It is a transcript of the gene named large ribosomal subunit protein uL15m-like, with no coding region annotated. The record is from RefSeq and is a predicted model, not a curated record. The transcript has 5 exons. NCBI's taxonomy places the organism in Eukaryota, Metazoa, Chordata, Actinopteri, Acipenseriformes, Acipenseridae.
GGAGAGAGAGUAACAUGUAUUUUUCUAGAAACACCCCUGGUAAGGCACUGGACCUUCUCUGAAAUGUACCCAGGAUAUCACUUGCAAACCUCAGACCCAACACAGGAGCCAAGAACUAGAAGGCCGCGAGUGAGGUUAUUUUUAAACAGUGAUGGCGUUUGUAUUCCUUAGGAAAUGUUUUGUAUGCAAUACAUUCCCAUACGUCCAGUGUACGUUAUACAGGUGGACUCCAAUAAAGACUCCAAGGGACAAUGGAAUAAACCAAGAGGAAGGACGGGGUUGUGGUGCUCAUGGACGAAAUAGAACUGGUUAAGGCCACAAAGGACAGAGACAGAGAGGAAAUCGCCUUCGACUUGGAUUUGAAGGCGGUCAAACCCUGUUUUACCUUGUUAUUCCAAAAUAUGGAUACAAUGAGGGCCACAGACCUCAGUACCAGCCCUUAAGUCUAAACAGACUUCAGUACCUAAUAGAUCUGGGUAGAAUAGAUCCCACUCAACCUAUUGACCUAACCCAACUAGUCAGUGGCAGAGCGGUCACAGUGCAGCCACUGAAGAGGGACUAUGGUGUGCAGCUAGUGGAGGAGGUAGGACCCUUUGGGACCAUAUGUUUGUGCAGAGAUUGGUGUGGCUAAAUAAUGAAAAUCCUCUAUUCAGUACCUCUUCUAAACUGCACUUAUCUCUGGGUUUUGCUGAACUGUCCUGUGUAAGCCUGUACCUUUCUUCAUGAGGGGACAGCCCAUUCCAAAACAUAUGCUUCCAGGAGAAGACGUGGUUCCAUACGACACACUGAACCAGCAAAGACCCAAAAAGCCAGUACGGCUAUGUUUUACCACACAUUACCAAGGAUGAACAGUUCCACAUGCUGACCACACGCAAAGACCCCCGGCAGAUUGUCUUACUCCAGGUUGGGUGGUAAACAUGGCUGAAAAGAAGAUUCUGGAGCCCACAGAUGAAAAGCUACUGAGUUAUUAUCGCUCUUGAGGAAAGCAAUGGGGGUUUUGUAUGCAAAUUAAAACAAUGUCCCCAAAAUACAACAUGAAACUUUGUCAAAUCUUUGUCCCUUUUAUGUCACUUGCCAAACUGCUCUCGACUCUGUUGUCCGUUAAUGGCAGCUGACUAAACUGUUUCACGGAAAACCCACUGCAGAAGUUUUAGCACCUAUCCACUACGAAGCUGAUUUGGAAACAAACUUAAAAAGCAGAUUGGUUGGUCCAGUUGUUUUUCAUGUAUAACUGAAAGCAAGUGAACAGCAGUCUUCUCAAAGCAAGUGAACAGCAGUCUUCUCAAAGCAAGUGAACAGCAGUCUCCUCAAAGCAAGUGGCUUCACAUCAAAGGUUGGCAAGCAUGCUUGCUUCAUUUUAGUCAAUAGCCUGACUAAAGAUUUCACAUAUGUCUGUGUCAAAUACCAAAAUAAAGAAGUACAAUUUGUUUCGACUAGAA